RNAcentral lists this long non-coding RNA (1132 nucleotides) under Cricetulus griseus (Chinese hamster). Its description in RNAcentral is "lncRNA (ENSCGRG00015038342.1)". The record is from RNAcentral. Lineage: Eukaryota; Metazoa; Chordata; Mammalia; Rodentia; Cricetidae.
UUCUCAGUGGUUACUGAGUACACUCUGUUUUCAUUGAUGUCACACUGUUUAUCUUUGCUCCAAUAAAGACGACUUACCCCAGGGCAUCCUCACUUUCUCAGCAUCCUUUGCGUGCUCUCUGUGUGCUUUGGCGCUGGCUGUGAGGAAUCCUAAGCUUGUCACUGCAGCAAAAAGAGCAGUGUGUGUGAUAAAUAGCAAAGCAAGGGCUGGGGUGUAGCUCAGUGGUGUUCCUCUAGCUGGUAGAGCCUAGCAUGUGCAAGGCUCCUGGUUCAUUCCAUAGCGUUGGAAAAGAACAACAACAAAAACCCCCAACAACAACAAAAGCAAGCAAGAAGCUGACGAGUGGCUUUGGAGUGUGUGGCCGGGGUUGUAACUCCUCUAUGAGUCACGGGAGGUAAUCGGAGGGGCUCAUUAGAUGAGGCAACUAACGGCUAGAAGAAAGGAAGCACAAUACACAUGAGCCUUAAUCCAGGCUUUCACGGUGAUUGCAUGGAUUGCUGACAUCACCCCUUGCCUGCCUCCACCUCAUCAUUCAUGAUAAAAGAGGGAUGCUCUUCAUAAAAUGCAGAUUAGACAAGGUUACGUCCUUGUCCAAUGUCUCGGUGGCUUGCUGUGGAUGGCAGAAGCUUGGCAUUCUUUGCAUUUCAUGCCAGUCUCUCCCAGCCUGGCUAUGAUGUCCCUCUCUAGACACAUCUCCACGGAGCCCCAUGGUUAUGCCACACUGCAGCUAGUGUCUCCAAGUGCUGGUCUGAGGAGAUUUUUCUCAAGAUAUUGGAAAGUCUGGCUAAAUGAAUGUGGAUUUAAAUCAAACUCCACACACACUGAGAACGUCUGAGAAGGAGCCAAGUGGGUAAAGUUUGAGGACCAAGCUAACACUUCAGUGAAUUCAACUGGGAAAACACACGGAAGGCAUUUGGAACACAACUUCUAGAAUAUAUCCAGCUGUCUUUUGCCCCUUCCCUUCUGCCUGAGAUGCCAAUCGCUUAUUUUUCCAAGCCCAAACCAAGCCUGGCUCUCAGUUAGAUCACUCCAGCUGAUGCUGGCUGACACUCCUUCCUGAGCAUCUCUGCAGACAUCGAAACACACUCAGAACUUACUCUCUGCCGACCUACGCCAUGGAUGUGGACCUGGC